RNAcentral lists this long non-coding RNA (580 nucleotides) under Gossypium raimondii (Peruvian cotton). Its description in RNAcentral is "long non-coding RNA (GRAI_LNC010020)". Lineage: Eukaryota; Viridiplantae; Streptophyta; Magnoliopsida; Malvales; Malvaceae. The record is from RNAcentral.
GAAACGUAGUCCUCCACAUCAUCAAUUCCUUCCAAGAUGAUUCCGGAAGACGAUGCCGUUUCGCCGGACAUUGUCACAAAACAAAAAGGAAAUAUACGGAAAAGAAAUUAAGUAUCAACAGGGAAACUGAAAUUUAACCGAAUCCGAAGAGAAAUUCCACUGCAUCGCGUUUCGUUUUUCUAAGUAUAAAAUCUUCUCUGUUUUUUUUUCAGAGGUUGAGAGUUCUUCAGUAACCCAGCCCUGGCAUUUUUCUUUUCAAAAAGAGGCACAAAACAAAAGAGGCAGAGCAAAGCAGCAGUAGAGGCACAAAACAGUAAAGCAAAAGAGGCACAAAAGCCAGAAUUAAAAAGUAAAUAAAAACAAAGCAUAACUAAUAAUUAAAGAGAAGAAGAAGAAAACGAACUCACCUGCGGAAGAGGAACAAAGAACAGGAAGGAGCUUUCACAGCGAAAAUGUGAAAAAAAUGGGUAUAGAACUUUCACAGCAGAGGAAAUAACGUUUUUCCAAGGGGGAGAAGACAGGUUAUUUUGGUCAUUUAUCAGCCAAAAGCACUUCAAGCUUUUUAUAUGGUGAAAUUUUC